UACGGAGGGGGUUAGCGUUGUUCGGAAUUACUGGGCGUAAAGCGCACGUAGGCGGAUCAGAAAGUUGGGGGUGAAAUCCCGGGGCUCAACCCCGGAACUGCCUCCAAAACUCCUGGUCUUGAGUUCGAGAGAGGUGAGUGGAAUUCCGAGUGUAGAGGUGAAAUUCGUAGAUAUUCGGAGGAACACCAGUGGCGAAGGCGGCUCACUGGCCCGAUACGACGCGUGAGUGACGAAAGGUGUGGGGAGGCUAAACAGGAUUCGAGAUACCCGGGUAGUCC
RNAcentral lists this ribosomal RNA (278 nucleotides) under uncultured bacterium. Its description in RNAcentral is "partial 16S ribosomal RNA". It matches the Rfam family "Bacterial small subunit ribosomal RNA", at positions 524 to 796 of the family's 1533-position model. The record is from RNAcentral.